UAACGCGAAGAACCUUACCAAGGCUUGACAUGACCAGGACAGCGGCGGAAACGUCGUGUUCCCGCAAGGGACCUGGCCACAGGUGUUGCAUGGCUGUCGUCAGCUCGUGUCGUGAGAUGUUGGGUUAAGUCCCGCAACGAGCGCAACCCUUGUUCUGUGUUGCCAGCAUGCCCUUCGGGGUGAUGGGGACUCACAGGAGACCGCCGGGGUCAACUCGGAGGAAGGUGGGGACGACGUCAAGUCAUCAUGCCCCUUAUGUCUUGGGCUGCACACGUGCUACAAUGGCAGGUACAAAGAGCUGCGAAGCCGCGAGGCGGAGCGAAUCUCAAAAAGCCUGUCUCAGUUCGGAUUGGGGUCUGCAACUCGACCCCAUGAAGUCGGAGUUGCUAGUAACCGCAGGUCAGCAUUACUGCGGUGAAUAUGUUCCCGGGUCUUGUACACACCGA
Molecule: ribosomal RNA, 446 nt
Filed under: uncultured bacterium
Lineage: Bacteria
Description: bacterial SSU rRNA
Rfam family: Bacterial small subunit ribosomal RNA
Source: RNAcentral